AUGCACGCUGGCGGCGUGCCUAAUACAUGCCAGUCGAGCGAACGGACGAGAAGCUUGCUUCUCUGAUGUUAGCGGCGGACGGGUGAGUAACACGUGGAUAACCUACCUAUAAGACUGGGAUAACUUCGGGAAACCGGAGCUAAUACCGGAUAAUAUUUUGAACCGCAUGGUUCAAAAGUGAAAGACGGUCUUGCUGUCACUUAUAGAUGGAUCCGCGCUGCAUUAGCUAGUUGGUAAGGUAACGGCUUACCAAGGCAACGAUGCAUAGCCGACCUGAGAGGGUGAUCGGCCACACUGGAACUGAGACACGGUCCAGACUCCUACGGGAGGCAGCAGUAGGGAAUCUUCCGCAAUGGGCGAAAGCCUGACGGAGCAACGCCGCGUGAGCGAUGAAGGUCUUCGGAUCGUAAAACUCUGUUAUUAGGGAAGAACAUAUGUGUAAGUAACUGUGCACAUCUAGACGGUACCUAAUCAGAAAGCCACGGCUAACUACGUG
Molecule: ribosomal RNA, 496 nt
Filed under: uncultured bacterium
Lineage: Bacteria
Description: partial 16S ribosomal RNA
Rfam family: Bacterial small subunit ribosomal RNA
Source: RNAcentral